RNAcentral lists this unclassified non-coding RNA (486 nucleotides) under Hevea brasiliensis (rubber tree). The record is from RNAcentral. Lineage: Eukaryota; Viridiplantae; Streptophyta; Magnoliopsida; Malpighiales; Euphorbiaceae.
AGAAGUUCUUGAGAGAUGGAGAUAUGCCAGGUCCUGCUGCCUCUGCCACCUCUGGUAUCACCACUGAAGCUGUCAACGCUGCUGCGAUUAGUCCUGUCACAGCUUUCUCUUUUAGAUAAGCUUGCAGUUCAAGCUGGCCUCUGGAUUUUGGCUUUGUGGAGAAAACCACCUUCGAUGGCCUUACAGGAAGCAGCUGAAGGAAGAAUUGGGAGUCUGAUGGUUGUGUUGAUAUCCUGUGUGUAGCUAAAGGUCGUGAUAUAGCCAUUGAAACUGAGGGCAUUAUGUGCCUGCUUAUUCUGUAUUUUGUUUUGCUUUCUUGCUUAGAAGAAAAUUCAAAACUAUUGGGGUUUGGCAGAAAUAAUAAAGAUUUUCAGCUGAUGUGUCAGUUUCAUUCGAUCCUACGUGGCUAAUUCUUAAAUGGAUUAAUUGGAUAAGGUUAUCUGUAUACUUUAGCUUGAUUGGCAUGGAAAUGGAUUUCUCUUGAAG